GAUGAACGCUGGCGGCGUGCUUAACACAUGCAAGUCGAACGAUGAAGCCGGAGCUUGCUCCGGUGGAUUAGUGGCGAACGGGUGAGUAACACGUGAGCAAUCUGCCCUUGACUCUGGGAUAACUGCGGGAAACUGUAGCUAAUACCGGAUACGACACCUUGGGGCAUCCCAGGGUGUGGAAAGAAUUUCGGUCAAGGAUGAGCUCGCGGCCUAUCAGCUAGUUGGUGAGGUAAUGGCUCACCAAGGCGACGACGGGUAGCCGGCCUGAGAGGGUGACCGGCCACACUGGAACUGAGACACGGUCCAAACUCCUACGGGAGGCAGCAGUGGGGAAUAUUGCACAAUGGGCGAAAGCCUGAUGCAGCAACGCCGCGUGAGGGAUGAAGGCCUUCGGGUUGUAAACCUCUUUUAGCAGGGAAGAAGCGAAAGUGACGGUACCUGCAGAAAAAGCACCGGCUAACUACGUGCCAGCCGCCGCAGUAA
RNAcentral lists this ribosomal RNA (483 nucleotides) under uncultured bacterium. Its description in RNAcentral is "partial 16S ribosomal RNA". It matches the Rfam family "Bacterial small subunit ribosomal RNA", at positions 28 to 523 of the family's 1533-position model. The record is from RNAcentral.